ACGACGUAAAUUAUAUAUCAAUUUUGUUUGGCUUAGUAUUUGCUUAAAAAUUAUCUGUUUAAACGGUUAUGGAGUGGUUCCUAAUCUUUAUCAUAGGCUGUCUUGUGGGUUUUCUAAUAUCAAAGAAUACAUAGUCCAAUAGAAGUGUGUACACUUACGUGCACUAAAAACCAAACAAAAUUUCCCAUUUUAAACAUAGAAGAUCGGAGUUUUAUUAGAAAAUAUGCAGCGGUUUAUUACUUUCAUUGUUGGAGGAAUCGUUGGUUUUCUGAUUGCAAAAAAUCACCGCUAAACAAACAUGGCCUAUGUCAUCUGCUUCGGAAUGGGCAUGGUUUUUGGCAUGUUCGUGUGCCGACGAUGCGAGCCCUGAUUGAGAAGAAUCCAUGGACCAAUAGACCUUAGGAAAGUCCUGCACAAUCAAAAUCUUAAGUGUGUUCUUAUUUAAAAUGAAUUAAGAUUAAACGACAGCCGACAAA
Molecule: long non-coding RNA, 476 nt
Organism: Drosophila biarmipes
Lineage: Eukaryota; Metazoa; Arthropoda; Insecta; Diptera; Drosophilidae
Exons: 3
Source: RefSeq, a predicted model, not a curated record